This is a non-coding RNA of Chrysemys picta bellii (western painted turtle), 3227 nucleotides long. Lineage: Eukaryota; Metazoa; Chordata; Testudines; Emydidae. The record is from RefSeq and is a predicted model, not a curated record.
UCCUUUAGCCUUUGCUCAUAUGGCUUGUAUUCCAUCCAUUUGCAUCCUUGUAUCUUCCACGUUACCUCCACCGUUUUAUCUAUUUUUAUGCUCUCCCACCUUAAGCUUUUUGCUAUAGCGACAGCCCCCAGCUGCUAAUGGCUGCAUGGGGGAACUAUUAGCUUGUUCAAAUUUGUAUGAGGUGUAAAGAAAGGGUGUCAACCAAUGUUUGGAAGCUAGGAACUUCACUUGAGAAUUGAGCAGAGGGAUGGAUGCCUGGAUAGGCUGAGCCCACUAUUUCUGUAGCCCUCUUAGCCACUGUCACUCAAGGAGCAAAGGAUCAUGUGCAAGUGAUAAACUGAGUCUCUUCUGGCUAAUGCAAAGCCAUUAUGUCUUGCUAAGAUAUUAGAGUCAUUCAUUAAAACAAAUCCAAAUAUCUAACAUGAAUUAAAACCAAAUAUACUUUAAAUCUUUCAUGCUAUUUAUUAGGAACAGAUUCCCUUCUGGUCUUCACUUAUAAUAGCUUCUGGAAUGCUACUGUAUAUAUAAUUUUAAAAAGCUAUGUAGAUGAAAGGGGAUUUUCUCUUGACACUUUAUAGUCCUGUCUUUCAGUGUAGAGCUGUUUUGCCUUAGACAUGUCUAAAUGAUAGCCUCAGAUAUUAUUUUCAAAUACAUUUUUCUUUGCAACUUAUCAGUAAAAUGUGAAGUUUGACACAUUAGUCACACAGGAAUUACUGUGACAAAAAGAGUAGAGAUCAAUUGCACUACAUGUAUUCUGAGAAACUUGGGAAAAGGCACCAUCUAGUGCGCUCUCUGUAGUAUUGAAAGAAACAUCUUGUGGCUAGUUACUUUCCUCCCAGUUCUGCCAAAGCUACAUUGAAGUUGUGAAGAAAUAAUAAAUAAAUAAAGUGAUGGUGCAGAUGGGUAAAUACCUUAUGUUUAAAAACAUUUAUGCAUACCAGUUAAUUUUUAACAACAUUUAAAAUCAAAUUUACUGCACAGCUGGGGUUGGCUUGGGUUAUGGGGGAUUGCAAGUAUCGGUUACAUUCAAGGUUCAUACAUAUCACAUAACCAGCAUAGAUUCAGAUUGGGGUGUGGGAGUUUUUAAAGCAUCAGUGGAUGUAUGCACUCAGGUAUGCCACCCAUGGAAUGUAUUAAGACUCCAAGUAGGUAUUGGUGUAGAGAAUAAGUACAUGGGUGGGGUGCGUUCCUUGGUUCGUCAGGGAAGGAAGUGGGUUAUUUCCCUGGUCAGCGUUCUCGGUUACUCGGCCUGGUACUGGCAGUGUCCUGUGAUGUGUUCCGUGUAGAUGUCUCUGGGUAGUACUCACCUGGCCUAAAGUUAGGCAGUUGAGUUGAGAAUUCUGAUGCUUAAAAUAUCACUUUAGCAACAGUAUUUUAUUGUAUAAUACCACCAGGAGGCAAAAUCUGCUGCUUGGAUAAGCAAGUGUGACUCCUGUCAUUGACAUCUGUUUAUACCAAUUGUGAAUUGGAUGAAGGGAAUGAAAAACAAGAUAUGACUUUCUAGUCAAGGACAUGGAUCCUGAACCGAUUCUCAAUAAAUAAGAUUUUAAAAAUAUUCUAGAUUGUAUUUAAUAAAAAGCCAAUAUAUUCUUAUUUUGAGAUGAUCCAUACCAUCUGCCUGACUUCCACUAGUGGGACAGUCUGGAAUAUAGUCCCCUACCUUGAUGCACAUGAAAAUGGAGAAAUAUGCUUACUCUUCCUCGCCCCCCUAGGUUUGAAUGAGAUGCCAAAUAUAUUCAGUUAACUUGCUUCUUUAUAGCUGACCAGUAUUCCUGGUCCAAAUAAAUGGACCUGUGUAACUACUGCUAGGAUAAAGCAACAGAGGGUCCUGUGGCACCUUUAAGACUAACAGAAGUAUUGGAGCAUAAGCUUUUGUGGGUAAGAACCUCACUUCUUCAGAUGCAAGUCAUGCUAGGAUGUAUGCAGAAAGGGGUUACUUUUGGACACACAUUACAGAAAACUUUAAAAUGGUAACAAACAGUUGUCAAUGCAAAACUAGUGCUAAAUUAAUUUUUAAAUAAAAAAUGCAACAUUUUUUAAAUGUUAAGAAGUCUAUGCAGGUUCUUAUGUGACUGAGUCACUGUAGUAUCUGAGUGCCUUCCAGAAAUGCACAAAGGACUAAGUGAUGUAACCGGCUACUUGCACCUACGAGUGUCCCAAAAAACAAAUAGCAAAACACAUACAAUACCAACAAAAGCACUUAUCAGAGUAUUUAUAUAGCCCUCUAUCAACCAAGCAACACUUAGCUCUAUCUAUGGUCUUUCACCUCCCAUUUCAGAAGCACACCAGUCUUAUGCUUUAGUAGUCCAUAACACUGUCCUCCAACUCCCUCAGCUCUCCUCCCCCAAAUUCAUAUAAGGGCCAGUCAUCUCCCUACUGGCCCACAGAUAAGAAUUAAUUACUAUUUGAUAAAUCAAAAGUGAACAUUCAAAAGGAAUGUUCAGUGUACAUUCUCACUACAGUAAUGGGAAGGGUUCUCCUUUCGCUGUAGUUAAUCCAUUUCCCAAGAGGCGGUAGCUAGGUCAACAGAAGACUUUUUCCAUCAAUCUAGCACUGUCUACACUUCCCUGCUCACUCACGACCCUGCAGACACCUUUUGACUCCCUGCAUGCUCUUUCUUCCAGCCCUUUGUCAGCUGGGCCCACUCAGUAGUUAAACCUGGAAUCACCCAAUUCUCUCAGAUGAGGCCCAUUCUGUAAUCAGGGCUGGCUUAGUCAGGGGCUCUCUAUCAUCAUCAUCUCAGAACUCUGGAUGAUCUAAGUGUUGAUCUCUAUCUAUAGAAAAGCAAUACAGCCUGUGUGCCUGGGAGAUCAUUCUCAUGGAAAUACCCAGAUGGUUUGUACUGAUUGACAAACUCACAAGAAGACUUAGUAACUAAGCUCUGGAUGCUACAACUACUGAGGUUAAGACAGGACAGUGGAAUCCCUCCUCUCUGCAGAUUCUUCCCACAGUGACUAACACUAGUGAAUGUAUUGCAUAACACAUCAAGCGUUAUGCAAUACAUUCACUCUAUUAUGAAAUACCAUGUGGGUUAAUUAAGCCCCAAUGGAGAAGAAAUGCUGGGGGGGAACCCAACGAAUGGAGACAAUAUCUCAAGGACCAGAGGGGACUAUUCUGAUUAUAUGUAUUUCUCAGAACAUGUCAUGACUUGCAUCUAGAUCAGUAAUACUCAGACUUCAGCUUGUGAGCCACAAGUGGCUUUUUGAUGCAUCUAUAUCAUACACUGG